RNAcentral lists this ribosomal RNA (320 nucleotides) under Samia ricini (Indian eri silkmoth). RNAcentral describes it as "partial 16S ribosomal RNA". The record is from RNAcentral. Lineage: Eukaryota; Metazoa; Arthropoda; Insecta; Lepidoptera; Saturniidae.
UGUCUUGAUAAUAUUUAAUUGAAUUUAAUUUUUUAUUUAAAAAGUUAAAAUAAUUUAAAAAGACGAGAAGACCCUAUAGAGUUUUAUAUUAAAUUAAAUUAAAAUUAUUUAUAUAAUUAUUAAUAUAGAUUUAAUUUUAGUAUUUUGUUGGGGUGACAAAAAAAUAAAUAAAACUUUUUUUAUUAUUUACAUAAAUAAAUGAAUUUUUGAUCCAAUUUUAUUGAUUAAAAGAAAAAAUUACCUUAGGGAUAACAGCGUAAUUUUUUUUUUUAGUUCUUAUAAAAAAAAAAGUUUGCGACCUCGAUGUUGGAUCAGGACAA